This is a long non-coding RNA of Thunnus maccoyii (southern bluefin tuna), 847 nucleotides long. RefSeq lists it as uncharacterized. NCBI's taxonomy places the organism in Eukaryota, Metazoa, Chordata, Actinopteri, Scombriformes, Scombridae. The record is from RefSeq and is a predicted model, not a curated record. The transcript is spliced from 3 exons.
CUGUUUGGACUUGCCAAAUCCACAAAUGAGUCAGAUCCGAUAAAUUUCAGCUUUGUUACAAUGGAUACACACUGGGCUUGUUUGUAUCUCCUGUGAGGAACUUCAAUGAUAAUCCACCAGAGAGUUGCCACCCCCGGUUUUACCUUUGUUAAAAACUCCCAAGAGCCCUUCAUCCUGUCUGCUCUGUCUCUGGUCCCUGACAGCUUAACACUCACAACACGCCCUUAUUUGAGGGAGAGAAUGGGGGUCAUCCCAGGUUGGCCCCGGUCAGCCCGGUCAGCCCUGUCAGCGAGACGUCACUGCAACCUGCUUGUUGGGCACGCGUUGACUCAACUCUGGAGAUGGUCCAUUUCAGGCACGCCAUGUAACAUUUACCUCCUGUAUGUUCACCUCAGGUUUUGGAACUUUAACAUAGACGUCACACAUAACCAAAAAAGCAUGACACAUCCCCUUUAAGAUCUUAAUUAUUUUAGUGUAUAUUGUGUUUACAUGUGCAAUAUUCCUGAAUCAGGUCUACCACUAACUUAUUGGCAUACAUAAAAAGUGGGGCAAGGUUGCAUGACAGGACAGGUGUGCUGUUUGCUGUCUGGGUGUCUGCCAUGUGAAGUCUGCUGUGUGUGCUGUUCAUGGGAGCUUGGAGAUGACGGAGUACCUUCAGUACACAAUGCACUAUGUGCGAUGCUUGGUGGGUUUCUAUAGGGGCCCAACAAUAGUUUACAACUGGCCCCCCGAUAGGUUUAUGGGCAUAAUGAGAACAAGUAAUGUAACAAGUGGUGUGAUGGAAUACAGGCUGGUGAUAUUCUAUAGUUUCUUAAUGUCAACAAAUCCAAUGAAAAGACCAACAGCA